RNAcentral lists this long non-coding RNA (817 nucleotides) under Sorghum bicolor (sorghum). RNAcentral's name for it is "long non-coding RNA (SBIC_LNC005512)". Lineage: Eukaryota; Viridiplantae; Streptophyta; Magnoliopsida; Poales; Poaceae. The record is from RNAcentral.
UGUCCCCCUAAUCGAAAUGGUUGGCCCCACCUCUAUUAUCAGGGAUGGUGCUAGUUAUAUUUUUUUUAAGCAAACGGCAGGGAACCUCCCUACCUAUGUUAUAUUAUCUCCUCUCCUCAACGCAUACAUAAUCCAGCUCACGUGCAAUGUUGAUUUAUCUUCACUUAGCUGCAGUGUUGAUGGUCAAUAAUGUUGUUUAGUGAUCAUCAACAAUAACACUAGUUAUUGGUCCAACAUCUUCACCAUGCUUAAUGCCUCUUUGGGUGCACGCCAGCUAAAGUUUAGCUAGGUUUAGCUAAAAAACAGUUAAAAUUUAGCUGAGUCUAUUAGCUACAGCAUCUAAAUAUCUGAACUAAAGUUUAGCUAGAAACUUUUAGUUGCCUAAAGUUUUAUUUUGAAAUUUAGCUAGCUAAACUUUAGCCAGCUAAAUUAUUAUUCUUAUGGUGCAAGUGCGAUUUGUUGGGUAAUUUAGUUGACCAGAAAUGACAUGGCACCAUCUUAUUUGCAGGUAAUAUUCAGGGGGACGUAUUGGAUCAUGUUCUGGUUCCUACUACACAAGGAGGAGGAUGGCCAAGUGAUGAAGAUGGGUUGCAGGCAGAUACCACAAUAGAGGUGUUUGCGAGAAACGGUUGGAGAUUUAGCAAUAGAAUUGCACGUUAAAUGUUGCACUUGGAACUUUUACCUUCUUUUGCUUUGCCUCAAAACUUUGUUUUUAAGAUUGCAUGGAUCUUUAUUUUGGUGCUUAUAAUAAAGAACAGUUAUAUGUUUUAGUCGAUAUAGAAGUUAGAAUAUCAAUAUAUUCUCUUUUCUAAAAGAA